Molecule: ribosomal RNA, 251 nt
Filed under: uncultured bacterium
Lineage: Bacteria
Description: partial 16S ribosomal RNA
Rfam family: Bacterial small subunit ribosomal RNA
Source: RNAcentral
UACGGGGGGGCAAGCGUUGUUCGGAAUUACUGGGCGUAAAGGGCUCGUAGGCGGCCAACUAAGUCAGACGUGAAAUCCCUCGGCUUAACCGGGGAACUGCGUCUGAUACUGGAUGGCUUGAGUUUGGGAGAGGGAUGCGGAAUUCCAGGUGUAGCGGUGAAAUGCGCAGAUAUCAGGAAGAACACCCGUGGCGAAGGCGGCUUCUGGGACGGUACUGACGCUGAGACGCGAAAGCGUGGGGAGCGAACAGG